This 468-nucleotide ribosomal RNA is filed under the name uncultured bacterium. Its description in RNAcentral is "partial 16S ribosomal RNA". It matches the Rfam family "Bacterial small subunit ribosomal RNA", at positions 28 to 507 of the family's 1533-position model. The record is from RNAcentral.
GACGAACGCUGGCGGCGUGCUUAACACAUGCAAGUCGAACGGUGAAAGAAGAGCUUGCUCUUCUGGAUCAGUGGCGAACGGGUGAGUAACACGUGAGUAACCUGCCCCAGACUCUGGAAUAAGCGCUGGAAACGGCGUCUAAUACCGGAUACGAGACAUAGCUGCAUGGCUACUGUCUGGAAAGUUUUUCGGUCUGGGAUGGACUCGCGGCCUAUCAGCUUGUUGGUGAGGUAACGGCUCACCAAGGCAACGAGGGGUAGCCGGCCUGAGAGGGCGACCGGCCACACUGGGACUGAGACACGGACCAGACUCCUACGGGAGGCAGCAGUGGGGAAUAUUGCACAAUGGGCGCAAGCCUGAUGCAGCGACGCCGCGUGAGGGAUGACGGCCUUCGGGUUGUAAACCUCUUUCAGCAGGGAAGAAGCGAAAGUGACGGUACCUGCAGAAGAAGCACCGGCUAACUACGUG